CCUACGGGUGGCAGCAGUGGGGAAUAUUGCACAAUGGGCGCAAGCCUGAUGCAGCCAUGCCGCGUGUGUGAAGGAGGCCUUCGGGUUGUAAAGCACUUUCAGCGGGGAGGAAGGCGUUAAGGUUAAUAACCUUGGCGAUUGACGUUACCCGCAGAAGAAGCACCGGCUAACUCCGUGCCAGCAGCCGCGGUAAUACGGAGGGUGCAAGCGUUAAUCGGAAUUACUGGGCGUAAAGCGCACGCAGGCGGUCUGUCAAGUCGGAUGUGAAAUCCCCGGGCUCAACCUGGGUACUGCAUUCGAAACUGGCAGGCUAGAGUCUUGUAGAGGGGGGUAGAAUUCCAGGUGUAGCGGUGAAAUGCGUAGAGAUCUGGAGGAAUACCGGUGGCGAAGGCGGCCCCCUGGACAAAGACUGACGCUCAGGUGCGAAAGCGUGGGGAGCAAACAGGAUUAGAUACCCCGGUAGUC
Molecule: ribosomal RNA, 465 nt
Filed under: uncultured Klebsiella sp.
Lineage: Bacteria; Pseudomonadati; Pseudomonadota; Gammaproteobacteria; Enterobacterales; Enterobacteriaceae
Description: bacterial SSU rRNA
Rfam family: Bacterial small subunit ribosomal RNA
Source: RNAcentral